Equus caballus (horse) is the source of this 6337-nucleotide non-coding RNA. The record is from RefSeq and is a predicted model, not a curated record. Lineage: Eukaryota; Metazoa; Chordata; Mammalia; Perissodactyla; Equidae.
AGGGCCACCAAAGGGGAACAUGUGAACUUAACUGCUGCGCCACUGGGCCAGCCCUGGUAUCAGACACAUUGUAUAUACCAGAGCUUUAGUCUCCCAGAUCCACACAGAGCACACACGUCACAGGCUCACGUGUAGUCGCUGAAGAGUAGGAUUUAAGGCUCUCUGCAUCCAUCGUGGCUCAGUUGUGAAGUACCAAAAAGCCCUGGUGGAAAGAUGGCCCAUUGACCUGGGAGCAGGAGGCCUGGGUGCUAGUCCUGGCCACACGACCCUGCGAAGUUCUUCCCAUCUCUGGGCCUCUGUUUCUUCAACUAGAAACUGAGAAGCUGGAGCUACGUAAUCACUUAAAACCCCUUCCAGCUCUGACAUUCUGGAGGCCUUAUCAAGGAUGAUGAACACAAAUGUUUACAGGGGCCAAGCACGUAAAUGGGCCAGGUGGGGACUGUGGCUAAAUAGAAAACUCAUGUCCUGCCCCAUCAAAGCAGCUGACGUUGCCAUGUGAGAAUGUGGGCCCGGGCUGCCACACUUCUGACAUUUUAAGAGAAGCCAUAGACCUGGAUUUCCUUAAUAUCAAAUACCCUGAUUUUUUAAUGUUUACAAUAAAUUUUUUAAAUUUAUAAGCACCAAGCAAACCAAAUAAGGCACACCUGUGAACCAGCUCCAUCGCUAGAGUUGCCAGUUUAGGACCUCUGAAUAAGGAAUCCCUCGGAAGGGGGCCUCGGACCAGAGCUAGAGCAGGCUCCAGGCCACUUGCCAGCUACCUAGCUUUCAGGGAACUGGUGGGGGUUUUAGGCAGAGACCCAUGAUGCUCUGAAAUCCCACAAGGGCGUCCAAGAACAUGCUCACGCCCCUUUGUGAGGCCACAGCUUCCAUGUGUCCCCCAGGCGGCUCCCUCAGGAUUUCUUAACUCACCCAGACACCUGGGCUUCUCAUCCUCUUCUCACCUUCCCCAACCCUGCCCUCUCUCCCAUCACCCUCCCCUGGCCUGCUGGCAGCUGAGAAACGACAGGACCAAGAGACAUUUCAUGAGGAAGAAAGAAAAAAUCAGUGUGAGAUCUGCUGGCACCCAUUUUUGAACCGCAGUGUGACAGGGAGGGGGUGGCUACCUGGGAAGUGGGUACCCCAGGUCACACAUUUAGGGCCUGUACACCCGACAGAGCCAACCUGGCAGAGUCAGGGAAGAGCGAGCACUGCAGCACAGAUGAGCGCUCCCGGGCUCCUUGCUGGUCCCAAGACAAACAGGAGGCCCCAUCUGGCCCACAUCUCCACCCUCAUUAAAUACCAGCUAAUUCCAGAGGAUGCAUUUGAGGCUCAACUCAACAAUCAAGAGAUUCAGCGGAUGAGCCAACACAGUGCUCCCUGGCUGGGGUGUGGAGGAGGAGUGAGGAUCAUGAGUCACAGGCAGCCCAGUCAGGAUGGAAGCCCGGACACAGGGCCUCUCUUCUCAGCCCUCACCAGGGCCCAAGCCCAGCCCAUCGUCCGCUGGUUGUUAAUUCCAUGCCUUGGAAGUCAAACCUCCAAAUGCCUUUCUUGGGUAAAGCUACUUGGAUCCAUUAAAAAUUCUCUUAGGGGCCAAACUUCACCACUCAGAGAAGCCCCUGCCAGCCAGUCAUUUCCCAGUUGUGGCCACCUGGACCGCUUCCCAGGGCGAACCCUGUUCCCAGUGACACACAUUAGGAGAGGUUUGUUGCUAAGGAAAUGGGUUUCCAAAUGAGGUCAGUGUGUGGCUCAAGAGGCUUCAUCCCUCCUCUGAGUGCCUCACACACACCCCUCCCCUAAUGCUAAUUCCUAAACAGAAAUUAGGAAGUAGAAAAGGUCAAGUUUCCAUGCCUUUCACCCAGGGAUCCAAGGCUCCCUGAUCUGUCUCGGUUCCUCCCCUUCUUCAUCCCUCUCCUCAAAACACCUUCUGCUGGAGCUGAAGACUUCCCAUUCAGAACCCUAAGGGAACGGACACAGGAGCUUGGCGUGAGCUUUUCCUUCUCCCAACAGGUUUUUCCUGGUAAUCUUAACUCAGUCCUAACAGUACAAACAGCCUGGGGAGAAUGACUCACUCCACAGCCCAGAUACUGCGCACAUCCUGUGCCUUGGCAGAACUAAGGCUUCUGCCUCAGGGCCGCCAUCUGAGUCCACCUGAGGCCAAACUGGAAAAUGGGCAAUGUUUGCCCUCAGCUCCCCAUCCCUAUGGGCGUUCCUCUGUCCUUCUGCCCUCAAGCUGACCCUGCCAGGCCAGUCAGGGGGCCUGAGUCCCCACCCUCCAGCCCUUCCUGAACUCCUUUGCAUCCCUCCCCCAACAAAGCCUCAGGUCGAGCUGCCUAGUGCUCUCCGCUCUAUUGGGCAACACAAUUGGCUAAUUGGAUACACCUGGGUGCAUCAGACAAGGCACUGGCCAGGGAAGCAGAAGGCAAGUUCUGGUCCUGGCUCUGCCACUUUUUAACCAUAUUUUCUUGAAUAAGCCUCAGCAUUCCAGUUGCAUCAUCUGUAAAAUAGAAUAAUGAUGCCUUCCUUGGCUCCUGCACGGGGAUCAAGCAAGCUUCUGAGCCUUGGUUGUCUCAUCUGUUAAUUGGGGAUAAUAAUACCAUUCUCACCCACUUCACAGGGUUGCUCUAAGGCUCAAAGAAGAUCAUGCAUGUGAUAGUGCUUUGUACCCAGUAAAGUGCUAUAUUCACAGAGGCGUUAUGAGCAAAGCCACUCCCAGGGGAGAGUCAUACAUGCCUAACAGCAGCCUCCUGGAAACCCCGUAUCAACAAAGAGAUGUGAGCCUGCUGGUUGGAAUCUGUGGACCAUAGCAGACCUGAGAGGGAUAUGCUGGGACAGAUGGGCCUCUUGGAAUCUCUGAUCACAUCACAGAUGUGGCCACCUACCCUGCCUACACUGCUGGCCCGGCCGUGCCCAUGUGGCUGAAGUUUCCCCUUUCUGCCCAACACCAGCAGCCUUUGCUGCAGUCUGGCAGCCCUGUCUGGAAGGUGACCAAUACCUUGGCCAUUUCUCCCUUUGUUCUUCCUGCUCUUCUCAGUGUCUUUGGCACUUGCGGAGUACGCUGCAUUCCUCCACCCUAGAAGCCAACUUCAUGGGUCUGCUCAGGGCUUGCCCCCUCACAGGGCCCUGGGGGGCAAGCUCUCCUAGCUGACCCUGUGCUUUGUCAGAAAACCAUGUGAUGCCAAACAACUGCCCUUGUUCUUUGGUGACAAUGACAGCAGAAUAACAACAAUAACACUUAGUAUUGAUGUCACGCUGCUCACCAGGAUGCCCAGAGGCACUGCAUAGAAUCAUUCAAAAGCCUCUGCUGUCCUCCUGGCUUGUGUUCCAGCUGGGCUGGAAAUGCAGCAACACUGCAAAAGAAGUCAGCAUCAGAACUGGAGAGACCCUGGUGUCCUGGGUUCCACUCCAAAGAUUCAAAGCAAGAAACUUUCAGCUCUGCUGCUGACAUGCUGUGUGAGUAUCAGAUAGGUCCUCCCCUUCUCCACAUGUUAGCUUUCCCACUUAAAAAGUGGGGACAUAAAGAGAUCCAUUGCCCUCAUGAAAUGAGGGGGUAGGGGAGGUAAUUCCUGAUCUCUUAAGCAUUGCACCAAGAUUCUACCUUUAGCUAACAGGUCCCUCGACUUAGCUUUCAAAUCCCUUUAAGGUGACACACCUAGAGGCACACCCUGAAGAAGACAGCUCCUCCCUUCAGACAUGGGGGAAAUGUGUGCACCAGGAAAACUCAAACGAGGUGAAAAAUGCAAGAAAGGGUGAUAUGCAAAAGCAGGGGUUAGUGCAAGUAGCUCAUUAAAACCAAUCAUUUGGGUUUUGGGCCUGAGAAUGUCUUUGUCCCCACCCUCCCCAGAAGGAAAUGGGGAUGUGGAGGUAAGUCUGUCAUCUUUUAGCCAGGCUUUUGGGUUCAGAAGCUGGAUGGCUGCACCGCAUAGCAACAGCAGCCAGCUGCCUUCCCGCCCCUAAAACAGGCGCAUGCUCAUCUCUAACCCUUUGGGGAAGAGGUUUCAGGACUUGCAGUCCCCGGGAAGGGGAAAUCCCAGCUGGUGCCCUGGAGCAACCCUGGCGCUAGUGCCAACAAGUGGCGCGGACAGCUUUGGGACUCAGAUGGGGAAGAUUGACACGCGAGGGCAGUCGGGCACUGCCGACAGACCAGGUGCUCGUCCCCUACCUCAGUGGCCAUAUUCCGGGGGAGCUGACCGCUCUGAGUCCGCGGCGGGGCCGGUCGAGGGUGCCUGUCCGCAGUGCUGACUCGGGAAGCAGUGAGAGCGCCAGGAGCUGUGCACGCGCUCCCGCGGCCUCCAGGGACUCCCAGACCCGGAGGAGAGAGAGGAAGGACGGUUCUGGGACAAGAUACUCCAGCCUGCGGAGGCUGACAGUCCUCCAAGCGUUUGCAGGCCCCCAGGUCGGGAAGACAAGAGGAGACUGAGAAGAGUGGCCAGUGAAGUAGGAGGAGAUCCAAGAGAGAGUGGUGUCCUGGAGUCAAGCAAGAAGCCUGAGAAACAAGGCUGGAGCCAGACAAUGAAGAGCCGUGAAGCAAGACAAUGGAGAGCCUGCGAGGGAGCCAAACAGUGAGGGGCAUAAGGAAAGCAACCUACCGGAACAGGUCACCUGGGAUCACCUUGGGGAUGGAUUAGAGGGCAGGAGCUGAAGCAGGAAGAGCAGGAAGGAAGCCAGUGUGCUAGACCAGGUUGGGGGUUGGCGGCAAGCAUGGGUCUGCCUAGGAAUGGCAGCAAAGAGACAGAUUCAAGAAACAUUUUAAAUGGAGUUGCCACAAGCUGCUGCUUCUGACUCAGUACAUGAGAGGAAGACAGGAGGGGUAGAUAAAGGAUGUGGGACUGUCCAUCCAUCUCCGUGGCUGGGAGAUGCCAUGAUCAGAAAUCACAAAGGCAGAUUAGGUGACACUCUGCAUGCCACAUGUGAAGGAUAGAAGCUUCAGCAAUUUUUUUAGGACUAAGGGGAUAGUGUAAGACUAUAGGUUAAGACUUGGGAGGUCUCUCUAUAAAAGUAACAUUGGAUGCCAUAAGAAUAUGUCACUUGACCUUGGGAAAGGGAUAAAGAGAGCUGUGAGAAAGGGACCAACUGUCUAGCCCUGGGCAAGAUGGUACAGUUGAAGUCAAAGAUGCCUUGGUUCAAAUCCCAGCUGUGUCCCUUACUAACUGAAUGGCCUUGGGCAAGUUCAUUAACCUCAGAGAGCCUAGGUUCCACAUCUGUAAAGUAGGAAUAAUAAUACCAAGUCGCAGGAUCUUUGUAAGCAGUAAACAAAAUGACCUCUGGAAGGAGCCAAGUUCGGCUCUCAGUCUGUAGCAGGUGUUCACCAAGCGUAGCCCAUGGUGAGAAAGGGGCAGUAAAAGGAGAAGAGAAGGAUGGAAGAUGGAAAUCCAGGACCCUGGAGCAUCACAGAAGCCCAAGGAGGCAAAGUCCUCCAGAAGGGUAGAUGAAUAGUAUCAAGUGUUAUACAAAGUUCAAGAGCAACUAGAGAGGCAGGAACUGCAUUACUGAAUCUUUACAGACUGCAGUUUGGAGGAGUACAAAAAGAGCUGGUGAACAGAACACAGAAAAAUCAAGAGAGAGAAAUCCACACAAAGACACCCCAUCAGUCAGGAUGUUUGGGCUGCAAAAACAUUAUCUUACUAACAUGGUUUGAGCAAUAAAGACAUUUAAUUAACAUAAUAGGAAGUCUGGGGAGUGGAGCUCCAGGAUUAGCUCAGUGGCUCAGCAAAGUCCCCAAGAAUCCAGGCUUUUUCCAUCCUUUCUCUACAACAUUCCAAGCACAUUGGUUUCUCAUCCUCAGAGUUAUUGCCUUGUAGUUGCAAGAUGGCUGCUGCAGCUCCAAACAUCGUGUUCUCAUAUAUAAACAUCCAUGGCAGGAAGAAACGGGGAGAGCCUACUUCUUUUUCUCAGAGAGACAAAUCUUCAAGAUUUCCCAGAAGCCUCCUGGCAUAUUUCCUCUUAUACAGUAGUCCCUCCUUAUCCACAGUUUUGUUUUUCAUGGUUUCAGUUACCCAGGGUCAACCAUGGCCAGAAAAUAUUAAAUGGAAAAUCCCAGAAAUAAACAAUUCAUAAGUUUAACUUGCAUGCCCUUCUGAGUAGUGUGAAUCAUCCCUUUGUCUAGCAUAUCCAUGCUAUAUACACUACCUGCCCAUUAGUCACAUAUAGCCAUCUCGGUUAUCAGAUCGACUGUCAAGGUAUCACAGUGCUUGUGUUCAAGUCACCCUUAAUAAUGGCCCCAAAGCACAAGAGUACUGAUGUUGGCAAUUCAGAUAUGUCAAAGGGAAGCCGUUAGGUGCUUCCUUUAAGCAAAAAGGUGAAAGUUCUCAACUUAAUAAAGAAAGAAAAGAAAUUAUACAUGAGGUUGCUAAGAUCUAUG